This 429-nucleotide ribosomal RNA is filed under the name Pseudomonadota bacterium. Its description in RNAcentral is "Proteobacteria bacterium partial 16S ribosomal RNA". It matches the Rfam family "Bacterial small subunit ribosomal RNA", at positions 355 to 776 of the family's 1533-position model. The record is from RNAcentral. Lineage: Bacteria; Pseudomonadati; Pseudomonadota.
UGGGGAAUAUUGGACAAUGGGCGAAAGCCUGAUCCAGCCAUGCCGCGUGUGUGAAGAAGGUCUUCGGAUUGUAAAGCACUUUAAGUUGGGAGGAAGGGCAGUAAGCGAAUACCUUGCUGUUUUGACGUUACCGACAGAAUAAGCACCGGCUAACUCUGUGCCAGCAGCCGCGGUAAUACAGAGGGUGCAAGCGUUAAUCGGAAUUACUGGGCGUAAAGCGCGCGUAGGUGGUUCGUUAAGUUGAAUGUGAAAGCCCCGGGCUCAACCUGGGAACUGCAACCAAAACUGGCGAGCUAGAGUAGGGCAGAGGGUGGUGGAAUUUCCUGUGUAGCGGUGAAAUGCGUAGAUAUAGGAAGGAACACAAGUGGCGAAGGCGACCACCUGGGCUCAUACUGACACUGAGGUGCGAAAGCGUGGGGAGCAAACAGG